This 497-nucleotide ribosomal RNA is filed under the name uncultured bacterium. RNAcentral's name for it is "partial 16S ribosomal RNA". It matches the Rfam family "Bacterial small subunit ribosomal RNA", at positions 28 to 507 of the family's 1533-position model. The record is from RNAcentral.
GAUGAACGCUGGCGGCGUGCCUAAUACAUGCAAGUCGAGCGAACAGACGAGGCGCUUGCUCCUCUGACGUUAGCGGCGGACGGGUGAGUAACACGUGGAUAACCUACCUAUAAGACUGGGAUAACUUCGGGAAACCGGAGCUAAUACCGGAUAAUAUAUUGAACCGCAUGGUUCAAUAGUGAAAGACGGUUUUGCUGUCACUUAUAGAUGGAUCCGCGCCGCAUUAGCUAGUUGGUAAGGUAACGGCUUACCAAGGCAACGAUGCGUAGCCGACCUGAGAGGAUGAUCGGCCACACUGGAACUGAGACACGGUCCAGACUCCUACGGGAGGCAGCAGUAGGGAAUCUUCCGCAAUGGGCGAAAGCUUGACGGAGCAACGCCGCGUGAGUGAUGAAGGUCUUCGGAUCGUAAAACUCUGUUAUUAGGGAAGAACAAAUGUGUAAGUAACUAUGCACGUCUUGACGGUACCUAAUCAGAAAGCCACGGCUAACUACGUG